GCCGCGGUAGCUCAGUGGUAGAGCGCACCCUUGGUAAGGGUGAGGUCGAGAGUUCAAUUCUCUCUCGUGGCA
This 72-nucleotide transfer RNA is filed under the name Altererythrobacter xiamenensis. It matches the Rfam family "tRNA". From Rfam's summary of the family: Transfer RNA (tRNA) molecules are approximately 80 nucleotides in length. Their secondary structure includes four short double-helical elements and three loops (D, anti-codon, and T loops). Further hydrogen bonds mediate the characteristic L-shaped molecular structure. tRNAs have two regions of fundamental functional importance: the anti-codon, which is responsible for specific mRNA codon recognition, and the 3' end, to which the tRNAs corresponding amino acid is attached (by aminoacyl-tRNA synthetases). tRNAs cope with the degeneracy of the genetic code in two manners: having more than one tRNA (with a specific anti-codon) for a particular amino acid; and 'wobble' base-pairing, i.e. permitting non-standard base-pairing at the 3rd anti-codon position. The record is from Rfam by way of RNAcentral. Lineage: Bacteria; Pseudomonadati; Pseudomonadota; Alphaproteobacteria; Sphingomonadales; Erythrobacteraceae.